This 440-nucleotide ribosomal RNA is filed under the name uncultured bacterium. RNAcentral's name for it is "partial 16S ribosomal RNA". It matches the Rfam family "Bacterial small subunit ribosomal RNA", at positions 338 to 795 of the family's 1533-position model. The record is from RNAcentral.
CCUACGGGAGGCAGCAGUGGGGAAUAUUGCACAAUGGGGGAAACCCUGAUGCAGCGACGCCGCGUGAGCGAUGAAGUAUUUCUGUAUGUAAAGCUCUAUCAGCAGGGAAGAAAAUGACGGUACCUGACUAAGAAGCCCCGGCUAACUACGUGCCAGCAGCCGCGGUAAUACGUCGGGGGCAAGCGUUAUCCGGAUUUACUGAGUGGAAAGGGAGCGUAGACGGCGGUGCAAGUCAGAUGUGAAAGCCUGGGGCUCAACCCCGGGACUGCAUUUGGAACUGUGCUGCUAGAGUGUCGGAGAGGUAGGCGGAAUUCCUAGUGUAGCGGUGAAAUGCGUAGAUAUUAGGAGGAACACCAGUGGCGAAGGCGGCCUGCUGGACGAUGACUGACGUUGAGGCACGAAAGCGUGGGGAGCAAACAGGAUUAGAUACCCGAGUAGUC